UCGAGCGUCAUUACAACCCUCAAGCUUCGCUUGGUGUUGGGCUCGCCCCUUGCGGGCCUGCCUCAAAAUCAGUGGCGGCUCCGUCCGGUCUCAAGCGCAGUAAUGCUCGUCGCUUGUCAGGCUUGGGCGGUCGCCUGCCAACAACCCCCCAUCUUUACAAGGUUGACCUCGGAUCAGGUAGGGAUACCCGCUGAACUUAA
This 200-nucleotide unclassified non-coding RNA is filed under the name soil metagenome. RNAcentral's name for it is "partial contains internal transcribed spacer 2 and large subunit ribosomal RNA". The record is from RNAcentral.